CCUACGGGUGGCAGCAGUGGGGAAUAUUGCACAAUGGGGGAAACCCUGAUGCAGCGACGCCGCGUGAGGGAAGAAGGAAUUCGGUAUGUAAAGCUCUAUCAGCAGGGACGAAAAUGACGGUAGUUGAGUAAGAAUCACCGGCUAACUACGGCCCAGCAGCCGCGGUAAUACGUAGGGGGCAAGCGUUAUCCGGAUUUACUGGUUGUAAAGGAGGCGUAGACGGCAGUGCAAGUCUGGAGUGAAAGGCAGGGGCUCAACCCCCGGCCUGCUUUGGAAACUGUAGUGCUGGAGUGCAGGAGAGGUAGGUGGAAUUCCUAGUGUAGCGGUGAAAUGCGUAGAUAUUAGGAGGAACACCAGUGGCGAAGGCGGCUUACUGGACUGUAACUGACGUUGAGGCGCGAAAGCGUGGGGAGCAAACAGGAUUAGAUACCCGUGUAGUC
RNAcentral lists this ribosomal RNA (440 nucleotides) under uncultured bacterium. Its description in RNAcentral is "partial 16S ribosomal RNA". It matches the Rfam family "Bacterial small subunit ribosomal RNA", at positions 338 to 795 of the family's 1533-position model. The record is from RNAcentral.